GAGGAAGCUUGCUGACAAAGUUGCAGCUGAGGGUUACUAUGUGGUGGUUCCUGAUUUUUUUAAUGGGGAUCCUUACAAUUCUGAAAAUAAGGAGCGGACUAUACAAGUCUGGUUAGAAUCACAUGGAACAGAUAAAGGAUUUGAAGAUGCAAAGCAGGUUAUUGCAGCUUUAAAAGAUAAAGGCAUAUCUGCAAUUGGAGCAGCAGGUUUUUGCUGGGGUGGAAAGGUGGUUGUACAAUUAGCUACAUCUGCGAACAUUCAAGCUGCAGUGCUAUUGCACCCAUCAUUUGUCUCUGUGGAUGAUUUUACGGAGGUGAAGGCACCAAUAGCUAUUUUAGGAGCUGAGUUAGAUCGUCCAACUCCUCCUGAGCUUAUUAUGCAGUUUAAGGAGAUUUUAUCAUCAAAACCUGAGGUGGACAGUUUUGUGAGAAUGUAUCCUGGUGUUGCCCAUGGGUGGACUGUGCGAUACAACGUGGAGGACAAGAAGGCUGUGCAGAGUGCUGAAGAAGCUCAUCAGGAUAUGCUGAACUGGUUUGCUAAGCAUGUCAAGUGAUUGGAAAGAACAGUAGCAGUUGGAAAGUUCCCAGUUAAAAAAGUUUAAAAGUUGGUCAUGAUAAACCCUGUAUUGUAUUUAUCUUUUAUUUAAAAGAAGAUUUAUCUUGCUAUGGUUAUGUUAAAUGUAGUGUGUGUUUAAAUAUUGCUAUUGUAUGAACUCUGAUAUUGGACUUCCGCUUUUAAAUAAAAUGUAUUUU
RNAcentral lists this unclassified non-coding RNA (752 nucleotides) under Hevea brasiliensis (rubber tree). The record is from RNAcentral. Lineage: Eukaryota; Viridiplantae; Streptophyta; Magnoliopsida; Malpighiales; Euphorbiaceae.